AUAGAGAAUUAUCAGACAACUUAGGUCAACCAGUCAACUGUAUUGCAAUGUCAAAUGAUGGUAACUGCAUAUUAGCCAGUUGCUUAGAUUCUACUUUACGUCUUCUGGACAGAUCUACUGGUGAACUCUUGCAAGAAUACAAAGGCCAUACUUGUAAGUCCUACAAACUGGAUUGCUGCCUUACCAACACUGAUGCCCAUAUAACUGGUGGAUCUGAGGAUGGUUUCAUUUAUUUCUAGGGUCUGGUGGAUGCAUCAGUGGUUUCAAGUUUCCAA
This is a long non-coding RNA of Carya illinoinensis, 275 nucleotides long. RefSeq lists it as uncharacterized. The record is from RefSeq and is a predicted model, not a curated record. The transcript is spliced from 3 exons. NCBI's taxonomy places the organism in Eukaryota, Viridiplantae, Streptophyta, Magnoliopsida, Fagales, Juglandaceae.